UACGAAGGGUGCAAACGUUGCUCGGAAUCAUUGGGCGUAAAGCGCACGUAGGCGGCUUCACAAGUCGGAUGUGAAAUCCCGUGGCUCAACCAUGGACGUGCAUUCGAAACUGCGAAGCUUGAGUAUGGAAGAGGGUCGCGGAAUUCCCGGUGUAGAGGUGAAAUUCGUAGAUAUCGGGAGGAACACCAGUGGCGAAGGCGGCGACCUGGGCCAAUACUGACGCUGAGGUGCGAAAGCUAGGGGAGCAAACGGG
RNAcentral lists this ribosomal RNA (253 nucleotides) under uncultured bacterium. Its description in RNAcentral is "partial 16S ribosomal RNA". It matches the Rfam family "Bacterial small subunit ribosomal RNA", at positions 524 to 776 of the family's 1533-position model. The record is from RNAcentral.